This 473-nucleotide ribosomal RNA is filed under the name uncultured bacterium. RNAcentral describes it as "bacterial SSU rRNA". It matches the Rfam family "Bacterial small subunit ribosomal RNA", at positions 335 to 801 of the family's 1533-position model. The record is from RNAcentral.
ACUCCUACGGGAGGCAGCAGUAGGGAAUCUUCCACAAUGGGCGCAAGCCUGAUGGAGCAACACCGCGUGAGUGAAGAAGGGUUUCGGCUCGUAAAGCUCUGUUGUUAAAGAAGAACGCGUAUGAGAGUAACUGUUCAUACGUUGACGGUAUUUAACCAGAAAGUCACGGCUAACUACGUGCCAGCAGCCGCGGUAAUACGUAGGUGGCAAGCGUUAUCCGGAUUUAUUGGGCGUAAAGAGAGUGCAGGCGGUUUUCUAAGUCUGAUGUGAAAGCCUUCGGCUUAACCGGAGAAGUGCAUCGGAAACUGGAUAACUUGAGUGCAGAAGAGGGUAGUGGAACUCCAUGUGUAGCGGUGGAAUGCGUAGAUAUAUGGAAGAACACCAGUGGCGAAGGCGGCUACCUGGUCUGCAACUGACGCUGAGACUCGAAAGCAUGGGUAGCGAACAGGAUUAGAUACCCUGGUAGGAUAGCG